CAGUCAUCCAAGUGGUCCACCUUUAAAACAUAGAUGAAAACAUUUUUUUUUUUUUCCAGCUUCCUUAUGGCUUAUGUUCCUCUCUGGGAGACUGUUUUCACUCAUCAAAGACAUUAGAACUAGAAACAAAUGCCAGGGAUGUCUUCAGCAGCCCUGCACAGAAAGGCAAACCUCAGCCUCCAUGACAAUGGGCAACAAAGAUGCUCACCUAAUGUGAAUGGAAUCCUGCUUGGAAAACAACUGAAGAGCAGAGACUGGGCAGUAUAAACGGGGACAGUCACUGUGAUCCCUUUGUCAGGGUCUUGAAACACUCAGCUUCCUCUUUCGAGUAGUGAUGAAAUUUAAACUAUGUGUGAUAGUUUAA
Molecule: long non-coding RNA, 364 nt
Organism: Pipra filicauda (Wire-tailed manakin)
Lineage: Eukaryota; Metazoa; Chordata; Aves; Passeriformes; Pipridae
Exons: 3
Source: RefSeq, a predicted model, not a curated record